Molecule: small nucleolar RNA, 107 nt
Filed under: Gossypium hirsutum (cotton)
Lineage: Eukaryota; Viridiplantae; Streptophyta; Magnoliopsida; Malvales; Malvaceae
Description: Plant small nucleolar RNA R71
Rfam family: Plant small nucleolar RNA R71
About the family: R71 is a member of the C/D box family of snoRNAs containing the C (UGAUGA) and D (CUGA) box motifs. Multiple nearly identical copies of this snoRNA have been identified in Arabidopsis, and it is thought to function as a 2'-O-ribose methylation guide for 18S ribosomal RNA.
Source: Rfam by way of RNAcentral
AAACCAUGCAUUGGACAUUUUUUAAUUAAUUCCUUGAAACGCUCCUAUGCCUCGUAUAAUGCCUCAUCUUCAAAUAGUCUAAACGAUGUAAUGUCAUUCCUCAGCUU